Molecule: transfer RNA, 73 nt
Filed under: Stegodyphus mimosarum
Lineage: Eukaryota; Metazoa; Arthropoda; Arachnida; Araneae; Eresidae
Rfam family: tRNA
About the family: Transfer RNA (tRNA) molecules are approximately 80 nucleotides in length. Their secondary structure includes four short double-helical elements and three loops (D, anti-codon, and T loops). Further hydrogen bonds mediate the characteristic L-shaped molecular structure. tRNAs have two regions of fundamental functional importance: the anti-codon, which is responsible for specific mRNA codon recognition, and the 3' end, to which the tRNAs corresponding amino acid is attached (by aminoacyl-tRNA synthetases). tRNAs cope with the degeneracy of the genetic code in two manners: having more than one tRNA (with a specific anti-codon) for a particular amino acid; and 'wobble' base-pairing, i.e. permitting non-standard base-pairing at the 3rd anti-codon position.
Source: Rfam by way of RNAcentral
GUCUUAGUUGUAUAGUGGUCAGCGCACUGGCCUCGUAUUCCAAAGGUCCGUGGUUCGAGUCCCGGCGAAGGCG